Molecule: ribosomal RNA, 301 nt
Filed under: uncultured bacterium
Lineage: Bacteria
Description: partial 16S ribosomal RNA
Rfam family: Bacterial small subunit ribosomal RNA
Source: RNAcentral
CAGCAGCCGCGGUAAUACAGAGGAUGCAAGUGUUAUCCGGAAUGAUUGGGCGUAAAGCGUGCGUAGGCGGCUUCUUAAGUCGGAUGUGAAAUCCCUGAGCUUAACUUAGGAAUUGCAUUCGAUACUGGGAAGCUAGAGUAUGGGAGAGGAUGGUAGAAUUCCAGGUGUAGCGGUGAAAUGCGUAGAGAUCUGGAGGAAUACCGAUGGCGAAGGCAGCCAUCUGGCCUAAUACUGACGCUGAGGUACGAAAGCAUGGGGAGCAAACAGGAUUAGAUACCCGGGUAGUCCCUGUCUCUUAUAC